Molecule: small RNA, 505 nt
Filed under: uncultured Glomus
Lineage: Eukaryota; Fungi; Glomeromycota; Glomeromycetes; Glomerales; Glomeraceae
Description: SSU rRNA
Rfam family: Eukaryotic small subunit ribosomal RNA
Source: RNAcentral
AGCAGCCGCGGUAAUUCCAGCUCCAAUAGCGUAUAUUAAAGUUGUUGCAGUUAAAAAGCUCGUAGUUGAAUUUCGGAAUCAGUACGCUGGUCGUGCCUUCGGUAUGUACUGGUGUCACUGAUUCCUCCCUUCUGAAGAACCAUCAUGCCAUUCACUUGGUGUGGUGGGGAAUCAGGACUGUUACUUUGAAAAAUUAGAGUGUUUAAAGCAGGCUCGCGCUUGAAUACAUUAGCAUGGAAUAAUGAAAUAGGACGUUAAUCCUAUUUUGUUGGUUUCUAGGAUCGACGUAAUGAUUAAUAGGGAUAGUUGGGGGCAUUAGUAUUCAAUUGUCAGAGGUGAAAUUCUUGGAUUUAUUGAAGACUAACUACUGCGAAAGCAUUUGCCAAGGAUGUUUUCAUUAAUCAAGAACGAAAGUUAGGGGAUCGAAGACGAUCAGAUACCGUCGUAGUCUUAACCAUAAACUAUGCCGACUAGGGAUCGGAUGAUGUUAAUUUUUAAUGAUUCU